Molecule: long non-coding RNA, 513 nt
Organism: Oncorhynchus tshawytscha (Chinook salmon)
Lineage: Eukaryota; Metazoa; Chordata; Actinopteri; Salmoniformes; Salmonidae
Exons: 4
Source: RefSeq, a predicted model, not a curated record
GGUGGGUGUUACCCAGCUAAAAGAGAGCAAGCAGAGAAAAAAGCCAGACCAGUCCAAGACAUCUGCACCGGUCAAAGCCCCAAUAAAGGCCCCUAAAACACAAGCGAAGACUAUCAAGACAGUGUCAGUGACGGCCCUGGAAACAAGGCGUUGCCGGGAAACAGAAAACAUCUGCCGACGGCCAACAGAGGACCGAUACGCCGGCCAACACAAGAGCUGAGAAAAGGAAAAAGAUCGGAAUGUAUUCUUCCCAGGACGAGUCUGUCCAAGGGCAGAAGACAGCCCCGGCCAGUUCAGCUGUAAUCCCACCAGCCAGCAAGAAGACGAGAUUGACGGAGGAGAAAAGCUCGUCCACUCCAAAGAGCGAGAAGACCACAGAAGAGAGAAAGAAACAGGACGAGAGAAGAGGGAGGAAGAGGAAAAAGGAUGAUGAGGGAGAGAAGAUGAAGGAAGUUGGUGUUGAAGAGGGAAAGAUUGAAGUCAGUAAGAUGAGGAAGAUGGAAAGUUUAGAAA